This 97-nucleotide small nuclear RNA is filed under the name Dipodomys ordii (Ord's kangaroo rat). Lineage: Eukaryota; Metazoa; Chordata; Mammalia; Rodentia; Heteromyidae. The record is from RNAcentral.
GUUACUAGUGAAGCAUUCCAUAUUUUUGGUACAGAAAAGAUUAGCAGGGCCCCUGCGCAAGAAUGACACACAAAUCCAGCUAAUUUAAUUUGUUUAA